Molecule: ribosomal RNA, 319 nt
Filed under: uncultured eukaryote
Lineage: Eukaryota
Description: partial 18S ribosomal RNA
Rfam family: Eukaryotic small subunit ribosomal RNA
Source: RNAcentral
CCCUUAGAUGUCCUGGGCUGCACGCGCGCUACACUGAAACUAGCAAAAAGUAUUCUCUGGUUUGAAAAAAUUGGGAAAACUAUUAAACAGUUUCGUGAUGGGAAUAGACUAUUGUAAUUAUUAGUCUUGAACGAGGAAUUCCUAGUAAGUACAAGUCAUCAGCUUGUGCUGAUUACGUCCCUGCCCUUUGUACACACCGCCCGUCGCACCUACCGAUUGAAUGGUCCGGUGAAAUCUCGGGACGGCGGCUUGGUCGCUUGCGUCCGACUGCUGAAACUUGAUUAAACCAUAUCAUUUAGAGGAAGGUGAAGUCGUAACA